Molecule: ribosomal RNA, 255 nt
Filed under: uncultured bacterium
Lineage: Bacteria
Description: partial 16S ribosomal RNA
Rfam family: Bacterial small subunit ribosomal RNA
Source: RNAcentral
UACGUAGGGUGCGAGCGUUGUCCGGAAUUAUUGGGCGUAAAGAGCUUGUAGGCGGUUUGUCGCGUCUGCUGUGAAAAUCCGGGGCUCAACCCCGGACUUGCAGUGGGUACGGGCAGACUAGAGUGUGGUAGGGGAGACUGGAAUUCCUGGUGUAGCGGUGGAAUGCGCAGAUAUCAGGAGGAACACCGAUGGCGAAGGCAGGUCUCUGGGCCAUUACUGACACUGGAGAAGCGGAAAGCAUGGGGAGCGAACAGG